This 213-nucleotide long non-coding RNA is filed under the name Elaeis guineensis (African oil palm). Its description in RNAcentral is "long non-coding RNA (EGUI_LNC019643)". The record is from RNAcentral. Lineage: Eukaryota; Viridiplantae; Streptophyta; Magnoliopsida; Arecales; Arecaceae.
UCCUCAAGGAGCAGUUGUUGUAUGACAUCGGGAUAAAUCUGACUAGUCACUUAGGUAGAUUUUCUUCUGUAAAUCUUCAAAAUUCUUCUUUCUUUCUUUUCUUGUAGACUAACUCAUCUUUUGUUGUUGUCUUGUAGGCAUGAGGAUCUCAACCGAAUCCCUCUAGCAUACUGUCAAGAAGAGAUCGGGAUCCGAGCUUGGCGGACCUUCUUG